UUCGAAAAAGGAUUUUGAAAUGAAGUUUAUUAAAGUGCAAUUCGAAAAAGGUUUUUGAAAUGCAGUUUAUUAAAGUGCAAUUCGAAAAAAGGUUUUUGAAAUGCAGUUUAUUAAAGUGGAAUUCGAAAAAGGUUUUUGAAAUGCAGUUUAUUAAAGUGCAAUUUGAAAAAAGGUUUUUGAAAUGAAGUUUAUUUAAUCCGUGUACUUUUCGGUAUUUGAAGUUUCGUUUCAGAAAGUAUAAUUUAAAAAAGAAAAUGAGACACUUAUUUAAUUCUCAACUUAAAAAGCUAAAAUGAAAAACGUAAAACAAUUGUUUUUUUCAUUUUGUCCUUUCGCACAUCAGAAACGAAAAACCCAAGAAAAAAGAACGAGAAAGGGCCCUUUAUUUAUUUUGUCUGAACCGGAAGUUUUAGUAGGUCAACAACCUGUACAAGUGAUGCGCAAACUUAUGGCAAACACUGUAGUGUGGACAUCAUGACGUUGGAAAAAUACUCAGACGUGAUCAUGGAGAUGGCAAAACAAGGCCUGUCAUCGGAAAUUAUAUCAGAGCGUCUGUCAUAUGAACACGGGGAAGUGAGAGGAUUUUCUGCGAGAAAUGUUAGAAAGUUUUGUGCUGAGCAAAUCACUAGCUGUCGACUCUCGGACACACGGUUGGAGCUUGAGGUGACACAAGCUAUAAAUGAGGGAGCUCGGAAUCUUAAUCCCACACCGUACCAUGCUGAAUGCAUGGGGCACAAGGUUCACCUGGACCAAAACGAGAAACUUGUAAUGUUUGGAGUCACCCAUGUUUUAGCUGUAGAUGGAUUCAGUAAAAAGAUUGUGAGUCAUUCCACAAUGCCAAUCAAAAACAACUUGAGCAUCUAUGAAUAUGUUUUCAGACCUGCAGUGAUCACCUAUGGUAUGUGGGACCAGGUGCGAGUAGACCAUGGAAAGGAAUUUUAUUUAACACUGUUCAUGCAAGAGAUGCUGUCACAUCAUCGCUUCAAUCAGGAGAGACUGCCUUAUUUACAGACCUCAUCCACAAGAAACCACACAGUUGAAAGGAUUUGGCCUGAAAUCAACAACCGUGUCAACUACCCACUAAAAACUGCCCUACUCCAGCUGAUGGACCAGGAGGAGAUAGAUAUGGAGGAUAACCUUGUGCGAUACUGUGUGUCCAAUCUAACCUGUCAGCUGUGUAACAUUGGUCUUGCAAGUGUGGUAGAAUCAUGGAAUGCUCAUAGAAUCCCAGGAAAAGGCAUACCAAAUCACUUUGCAGAACAUGGGUGUAAAAGAAGAAUUUCUCCAGAGCUCUUGCCAAAUGCACUUGAAGCAGCAGACCUUUACAGGCAGCACUUGGGAUCUGCACUCAAAGAAUAUUCGACUUUUGGAGUUGAUCCCUUCACAACCGAACAGGACAAACUUAGAACAGAGAGUCAUUUUGCAGAAAAAUAUCCUGAUAUUUCACAUUUGUUUUUUAGAGCCGUAAAUGGUGACUUUAUGCCAUACAAAGAAGCUCUGCUCUGUCUCAUAAACAUAACUCAGAGAAAUGUAUGAACCACUGCAUCUGUAAACUGUACAGAACAGACAAAAAAAAAAAUCAACUGACUGUAAACAUUUGUGUGUACACACUACAUUACUCCUCUGCAAAAAAAGAUUUCAAUACAGAAAAUGCAGCUGUUAGACCAGUAAUUUGUAGAACUCCGUUGUUACUCUCCCUGCAUUUUGCACAGUGCUGUGAUGUCUCUUGCCACUGUUCCACACAUGUCUUGCAGCCAAUAAUGCUUCUGCAGCACAGUGAGAACACUGGAUCCUCAAUGAUGUCUGCAAAAGUAAAUCAGAUAAGUGAGACUGUUAUCCAUUUAUGUUGAAUUUAGUUCAAACUAUAGGUUCAAAGUCAGUCUUGACAUAAAUUUACAGACAGCAUGCAGAAUAUUUUUGGUUAUUCUGUAAUUACUCUUGUUCACGCUGUUCUGAGAAAGUCCCUGUCUAUAUUUUUGUCUAUAAUUGAUGAGGGGCAAAAUCAGUACAUUUUCUCAAUUAGCAAGCAAGAAAAAUGAAAAAGUUACAGGUACUUGAUUCAAUAUAUGCAACUACAGUCCCAUUUUAAAUGUGAACUUUUUAGUUUUACAUUACUGUGAACAGUGUACCGUCACCCAUACUGACAUUGUAAUCAAUUUGAAAAGCUAUACUUUCAUAGUCAAGAUUGCAAGGAGAACCCAAAUUAAAUGUGCAUGUAAACUUUUGAAUGUUAUGUUACAGUAGACCUGCAUCUUGAUUGUCUGUGCCUAAGUAUUUAAAUGGACACUGCUGAAUAAAGAGCCUAUGUUUGGUAAAAAAAUGUUUGUCCAAAGUAAUGAUUGAAUGUGGUUUGACAUUGUUUUAAUUGUAAUUAAAAUGUUAGUGUAGAUGUAAUGUAUUUACUAAGCAACAUUUGAACAUACUCAUACAAACCACGCAGCUAAAUCCCUCCUUGAGUGUCUGCAGCUUGGGGGUUGUGACUUUCUGGGCAACUGCAAGAUCAGUGAGCUCUUUGAUUGCUGCUGUGACAGCUGGCAGACUUUGAGAUGCCAACACCAACUCUUCUAUUUUGUCACUCACUUCUCCCAAACUGGCACUGUCAUCAUCUUUACGGCUGCUACAAAUAAAAAUGGAUAAUCAGAUGUCAAAGCUACUUACUGGCUUAAAGAAACAUCACAUCACUUACUGAUAGAUGAUGAUUUAUGUAGUGAUGUCUUACUGCUAUUAUAGGAUUUAAAUCAAAUUAAUUCUUCUAUAUUGAUGUUCAUCCUAUAGUAUAUACAUAUUUAUUCACAUACCUCAGUUUCUUCCUCUUUGUUCCCUGGAGGCAAUUAAAGUCUUGUUCAGGCACAGCAAGAAUUUUUCGUGCAUUUUGUCUCCAGUACUGUGACCCUACAGAUGAAAAACAAAACCAAAGAAACCUGUUUAGAAGCCAAUACCAUAUUACCCAAUAAAUAUUACAAAGAGUCUGGUAAGACAUGUCUCUCCAUAAGAUAUGGGCUUUAGCUGUAAUAUUAUGGCUCACCUGUUGUGCCCUCCGACUCCAGAAUUGCAUUGCCCUGUGCAUCUGUCAAAAUUAUUGGGUUGUAAUUACCAAUGGCAUCUUGCACUUUUCCUACUAUCCCUUGAAGCGUAGCCUCAGACUCCAGGAAUCGUACAACCACCAUUCUAUUGGGAAUCAACCUCCCACCAACUACAUCUGCAAAGUACACUGAUCUGUAAAACAAAACAUAAUAAUUUUACAUAUCUUGUAAAAGACAGCAGGCCACAAAUCCAUUCAGUGAUUGCUAUAGGCAAAUUGUACUAAAACAGCUUUGCUAUUCUUAACAAUUCAACUAUCCAUGCACCUUAUGUUUCUUUUUAUUUUGCCUGUUCUGUAAUUUAAUAUUCAAGAACACAGACUCAUCCUACCUCUGAAAUGUUUUGGAGGACAUAGGGGAACUUGAAGUAGCCUGCUGUGAACGUGAAGGUGCAGACGCUGCCACAGCUGGUGCUCGCAUAAAUGCAAAACGCUGCCCGCUGGAACCUGCUGUUGGAAUUGACUCCAUGUCUUCUCCGUGGACUUCAUAGUGACCUCUGGGUGUAAGGUCUAAUGCGCUGAAAACACCAGAGACCGCACCGGGGAACAUAGCCACGUUUGAAUCAUCCGUGAUGUACAGAGUAUGCGCGGAUACCUGUUUAAGAAAAGUUUCCGUAAAUCACGUUGCUCUGCUAACGUGUUACUCCUGUGCACACGGUUAAUAGGCUCUAAAGGCUUACUUAUUAGCUAGUAGCCGGUAAAAGUCAAUGAAUAACUAUUUACACAUUAGCACAUGUGCACAAUUCACAUAUUAGCACAAUGAAGACGGCUAGACAUAGUAUUAGUAAAAGUAGGCCUACAUGAAAUCACCAAAUGUUAACGUUAGCCGUUCCGCAGUAAGGAAGAACAAUAACGUUCAUAAAAAAACUGCUGAAAGCAAAGUUUGCGAAGUUUACAUAUCUACCUGAAAGAUGCGACCCAGUUUUUCUGCAGUCAUGUCUUCGUCCCGGAGUGUCACUCUCUUAGUUUUCCUAAAAACAACGUAAUGGUCCAUCCUCUGUUUAUUCCAGUGUAACUUUAAGGCCGUCGAUCUCUUGUGUGGGGGACGGUGUGCGCGCGCCAUAAAAAAACGCGCAGAAGAAGUACUUCCCGUUUCAGACAUUGAAAAUGCGUCUAUUUUUUUGUUUUUGCGCUAGUAUACUUUCAUUAUUUGAAUCACGAAGAAAUCCAAAAAAGCACGUCUAAUUUUAAGUGUAUGACGGCUAUUUGUUACCACCGAAUGAAAAAACAAGUUAUUUUCGCCCAUUUUAUUCUUUAUCAAAAAUUAAAAAAAUGAAAAUUCUUUUAAAUAUCGUUUUUUCGUUUUGGUUUCUGAAACAAAACUUCAAAUACCGAAAAGUACACGGACCUUUAUUAAAGUGCAAUUCGAAAAAGGUUUUUGAAAUGCAGUUUAUUAAA
Long non-coding RNA from Oreochromis niloticus (Nile tilapia), 4477 nucleotides. NCBI's taxonomy places the organism in Eukaryota, Metazoa, Chordata, Actinopteri, Cichliformes, Cichlidae. The record is from Ensembl.